GGCGCAAGACUUGCAAACCAAACACUCCAGGUAACCAACGGCGGUUGCCCCUCCACGACAAAGACGUCGC
This is a non-coding RNA of Pseudomonas brenneri, 70 nucleotides long. The record is from Rfam. Lineage: Bacteria; Pseudomonadati; Pseudomonadota; Gammaproteobacteria; Pseudomonadales; Pseudomonadaceae.